UCACAUCGACGGCGGUGUUUGGCACCUCGAUGUCGGCUCAUCACAUCCUGGGGCUGAAGCCGGUCCCAAGGGUAUGGCUGUUCGCCAUUUAAAGUGGUACGCGAGCUGGGUUUAGAACGUCGUGAGACAGUUCGGUCCCUAUCUGCCGUGGGCGCAGGAGAUUUGAGAAGAGUUGCUCCUAGUACGAGAGGACCGGAGUGAACGAACCUCUGGUGUUCGGGUUGUGUCGCCAGACGCAUUGCCCGGUAGCUACGUUCGGACAGGAUAACCGCUGAAAGCAUCUAAGCGGGAAGCCUCCUUCGAGAAGAGAUCUCCCUUAGGACUUGAUCCUACUGAAGUGCCGUUCAAGACGAGGACGUUGAUAGGUUGGGUGUGUAAGUGCCGUGAGGCAUUGAGCUAACCAAUACUAAUUGCACGUGAGGCUUGACCAUAUAA
Molecule: ribosomal RNA, 435 nt
Filed under: Gammaproteobacteria bacterium
Lineage: Bacteria; Pseudomonadati; Pseudomonadota; Gammaproteobacteria
Description: bacterial LSU rRNA
Rfam family: Bacterial large subunit ribosomal RNA
Source: RNAcentral